UUGCUGAAGCUUACAUUAUGUAGAUUUCCUUUUGUUAAAAAAAACCCUAAAUUCCUCUGCACAUCUGUCAAAGUCGUCGUUUCUCAUAUUUCACUUCUGUCUCCCUCCUUAUUCUCUUCAAUCUCCGGCAAGCCUCCGUAACAACCAGCCUCCUUAAGCCGUUGCCACCAUCAAUGCCAAUGUCACACAUCGUUCACAGGUACCACUAACCCUAAUUUUCCUCCACCAUCGCCACCAGAAACACACACUAAACAAGAAAAAAGUCCCCAUUAUAAACCGAUUCUCACUUCCCCUUUCUCCCACACUACAAUUACACCAUCAGCCACCACCAUCCAUUUUCCUGCAUUGCACCACAUCUCCUACGACGAACCCCCAACACGAUCUGUUGUUAUUGGGUUAAAAGUCAACAAAUACCUUUGAAGGUGAAACCACUAAUUUGACAUGAGGAUCAAGUUGAAAGACUUCCCAGAAGUAUCAUUUGGGAUGCUUGUAAAAUCUAAAAGCCAAUUUAGGGAUCGAAUGUGUUUCAGGGCUUUUAAGGUUUACAACUAUAACAUCUGUUGACAAGGCUGAACAUGGCCUAGAAUGUCCAAGCUACCUCUACCCUCGCCAAGGAAUUCUCAGUUCAUAUGACCAUGCUUCGAUUCGACAUGGUCACCAAGUAUAGACACAAGUUGUUGUCAUUUUGCUCUUCACAUAGUUGUUGCCAAUGGCCCGAUUGUGAUGGGAAAUUCAAGAAUGACUUCAUGUUCUUACUUUAUUUUUUGUUUUCUCUUAAUGGAUAUGUUCAAGGUUUCAUACAAUGUGUGGAAUUUUGGUCAGAUUGUUUCUAUGCCGAGGGAUGCAUGGUAAAAAGUGAAGGUGCCCAAAAGAAGUCUUUCACAAAUCAAAGCAAGUGCAAAAUCGUUGUAUCACAUGGCCAUCAUUACUAAUUCAGGGACAUGGAGUUAUAAUUUUGAAAACAAAUGGAUCAAAGGUGCAGCUGGAUACUUUUUAGUAUGGGAUCAAUAGCAAAGAUCUUAGGUCAACCAUGUCGGUUUGCCAUAAAUAUAAUUACCUGUUGACAUGUGUACUACCCAUGACUCGGUUCAAAAAAAUUGAUAUCACUGAGGUUCAUUUUUGAACAGCCCAGUUGAAUACAUCGACAACAAUGACAUUGCAGCAAUGGAGUCAAUCGAGAGGAAAACAUGCAGUAACCUAAACAUCUCUGAUCAUGUUGAAACAACAGGGGGAUGUCAAACAGUUACUCGGACUUGACUAAGAAGUUUCAGGCAUUGAGCUAAACCUUAAUAUAAAUCUGAAUCACUAGGCCUUAUCUUCAUUUAAACUAUCUGAUUUUCACUAAAAAUGGCUUCUUCAACACUAGAUUCUCAAAGUUUAAGCAUGCGAAGUUGAAGUAAGAACACUAAACACUGACACCCAGAAGAAUUAUUGUGUACCAUUAUUGUAUAGGUUGAUUUUAAGCUUGGCAUUUGCUAGGUAAAGUAAAAAAAAAAAAUCUAACAAUAUUCUAUUUUCUAUGUCGAUUUUUUUGGUUGGUGUUUAAGCUACUGCCCAUGAUAUUCACUUUCAUUGAGAUCAUCCUGAUAUGCAUUGGGGUCAUGUGAUAAACUUAUGAAUAGGGAUUUUGAGAGCAUGAACCCAUGUCAGUUCUUGUAUGUCGUACACCAAAGACAAAGAAAUGUCAAGGCAGAAGCGUGAAGAUGAACAAAGAGUUUAUUGCCCAUAUAUUAAAAAAAGAUCUAAGUAUGUUGUUAUAAACAUAAGUUUUUACUUUCAUUACCCAAUAGUUUUGUUGGAUUUAUCCUUAUAUUAAAAACAAGUUUAUGAGGUAGCCGUUUUAGGUACGUUUUCCGAAUUUAUGUUGGUUGAUAAAUAAUAGUUGACAUUAAUUAUGUAAAUCAAAAUUGAGGAACUUCACUUAA
This is a non-coding RNA of Lactuca sativa (garden lettuce), 1925 nucleotides long. Lineage: Eukaryota; Viridiplantae; Streptophyta; Magnoliopsida; Asterales; Asteraceae. The record is from RefSeq and is a predicted model, not a curated record.